Molecule: signal recognition particle RNA, 270 nt
Filed under: Chinchilla lanigera (long-tailed chinchilla)
Lineage: Eukaryota; Metazoa; Chordata; Mammalia; Rodentia; Chinchillidae
Description: Metazoan signal recognition particle RNA (ENSCLAG00000022019.1)
Rfam family: Metazoan signal recognition particle RNA
About the family: The signal recognition particle (SRP) is a universally conserved ribonucleoprotein. It is involved in the co-translational targeting of proteins to membranes. The eukaryotic SRP consists of a 300-nucleotide 7S RNA and six proteins: SRPs 72, 68, 54, 19, 14, and 9.
Source: Rfam by way of RNAcentral
GCUGGGCAUGGUGGUGUGCUCCUGUAGUCCCAACUACUUGGGAGGCUGGGGUGGGAGAAUUACUUAAGUUCAGAGUUCUGGGCUACAAUACACUAUGCCCAUUGAGUGUCUGCACUAAGUUUGGCAUCAACAUGGUGACCUCUCGGGAGUGGGGGAUCACCAGGUUGCCUAAAGAGGGGUGAAUCAGCCCAGGUCAGAAACGGAGCAUGUCAAAAAAUUGUUACAGUAAAAGGCACAUUGCAACUAAUUAAUCUCAGAAUACUCCCUCUU